AGGGAUAUAACUCAGCAGUAGAGUGUCACCUUGGUAUAGUGGAAGUCAUCAGUUCGAGCCUGAUUAUCCCUA
This 72-nucleotide transfer RNA is filed under the name Datura stramonium (jimsonweed). RNAcentral describes it as "tRNA-Thr". It matches the Rfam family "tRNA". Rfam says of the family: Transfer RNA (tRNA) molecules are approximately 80 nucleotides in length. Their secondary structure includes four short double-helical elements and three loops (D, anti-codon, and T loops). Further hydrogen bonds mediate the characteristic L-shaped molecular structure. tRNAs have two regions of fundamental functional importance: the anti-codon, which is responsible for specific mRNA codon recognition, and the 3' end, to which the tRNAs corresponding amino acid is attached (by aminoacyl-tRNA synthetases). tRNAs cope with the degeneracy of the genetic code in two manners: having more than one tRNA (with a specific anti-codon) for a particular amino acid; and 'wobble' base-pairing, i.e. permitting non-standard base-pairing at the 3rd anti-codon position. Lineage: Eukaryota; Viridiplantae; Streptophyta; Magnoliopsida; Solanales; Solanaceae. The record is from RNAcentral.